UUACGGCCAUAUCAUGUUGAAACACUGGUUUUCGUACAAUCACUGAAGUUAAGCAACAUUGAGCCUGGUCAGUACCUAGAUGGGUGACCACUUAGGAAUAUCAGGUGUUGUAA
Acanthosepion pharaonis is the source of this 113-nucleotide non-coding RNA. The record is from the annotation of a GenBank genome assembly. NCBI's taxonomy places the organism in Eukaryota, Metazoa, Mollusca, Cephalopoda, Sepiida, Sepiidae.